CCUACGGGGGGCAGCAGUGGGGAAUAUUGCACAAUGGGGGAAACCCUGAUGCAGCGACGCCGCGUGAGUGAAGAAGUAAUUCGUGAUGUAAAGCUCUAUCAGCAGGGAAGAAAAUGACGGUACCUGAGUAAGAAGCCCCGGCUAACUACGUGCCAGCAGCCGCGGGAAUACGUAGGGGGCAAGCGUUAUCCGGAUUUACUGGGUGUAAAGGGAGCGUAGACGGCAGUGCAAGGCUGGAGUGAAAGGCGGGGGCUCAACCCCCGGCCUGAUCGGGAAACUGUACGGCUGGAGUGCGGGAGAGGUAAGUGGAAUUCCUAGUGUAGCGGUGAAAUGCGUAGAUAUUAGGAGGAACUCCAGUGGCGAAGGCGGCUUACUGGACUGUAACUGACGUUGAGGCUCGAAAGCGUGGGGAGCAAACAGGAUUAGAUACCCUUGUAGUC
Molecule: ribosomal RNA, 440 nt
Filed under: uncultured bacterium
Lineage: Bacteria
Description: partial 16S ribosomal RNA
Rfam family: Bacterial small subunit ribosomal RNA
Source: RNAcentral